UACGGAGGGUGCAAGCGUUAUCCGGAUUCACUGGGUUUAAAGGGUGCGUAGGCGGGCAGUUAAGUCAGUGGUGAAAUCCUUGGGCUCAACUCGAGAACUGCCAUUGAUACUAUCUGUCUUGAAUAUUGUGGAGGUAAGCGGAAUAUGUCAUGUAGCGGUGAAAUGCUUAGAUAUGACAUAGAACACCUAUUGCGAAGGCAGCUUACUACGCAUAUAUUGACGCUGAGGCACGAAAGCGUGGGGAUCAAACAGG
RNAcentral lists this ribosomal RNA (253 nucleotides) under uncultured bacterium. RNAcentral describes it as "partial 16S ribosomal RNA". It matches the Rfam family "Bacterial small subunit ribosomal RNA", at positions 524 to 776 of the family's 1533-position model. The record is from RNAcentral.